RNAcentral lists this ribosomal RNA (482 nucleotides) under uncultured bacterium. RNAcentral describes it as "partial 16S ribosomal RNA". It matches the Rfam family "Bacterial small subunit ribosomal RNA", at positions 30 to 507 of the family's 1533-position model. The record is from RNAcentral.
AUUGAACGCUGGCGGCAUGCCUUACACAUGCAAGUCGAACGGUAACGGGCCUUCGGGUGCCGACGAGUGGCGCACGGGUGAGUAAUACAUCGGAACGUGCCCGAUCGUGGGGGAUAACGAGGCGAAAGCUUUGCUAAUACCGCAUACGAUCUACGGAUGAAAGCAGGUGACCGCAAGGCCUUGCGCGGACGGAGCGGCCGAUGGCAGAUUAGGUAGUUGGUGGGAUAAAAGCUUACCAAGCCGACGAUCUGUAGCUGGUCUGAGAGGAUGAUCAGCCACACUGGGACUGAGACACGGCCCAGACUCCUACGGGAGGCAGCAGUGGGGAAUUUUGGACAAUGGGCGCAAGCCUGAUCCAGCCAUGCCGCGUGCAGGAUGAAGGCCUUCGGGUUGUAAACUGCUUUUGUACGGAACGAAAAGCCUUCUUUUAAUACAGGAGGGUCAUGACGGUACCGGAAGAAUAAGCACCGGCUAACUACGUG